UCCCUCAGGAUUCCCAAUGUCCAUCCCUCAUAAUUCCCUCAGGAUUCCCAAUAUCCAUCCCUCAGCAUUCCAUCAGGAUUCCCUCAGGAUUCCCAAUGUCCAUCCCUCAGGAUUCCCAACAUCCCUCCCUCAGGAUUCCCUCAGGAUUCCCAAUAUCCAUCCCUCAGGAUUCCUAGUGUCCAUCCCUCAGGAUUCCCUCAGGAUUCCCCAUGUCCAUCCCUCAGGAUUCCCAACAUCCCUCCCUCAGGAUUCCCUCAGGAUUCCCUCAGGAUUCCCUCAGGAUUCUCAAUAUCCAUCCCUCAGGACUCCCCAUGUCCAUCCCUCAGGAUUCCCUCAGGAUUCCCCAUGUCCAUCCCUCAGGAUUCCCUCAGGAUUCCCUCAGGAUUCCCUCAGCUUUGUGGUUUGUGCAGCCUCAGGCCCAAAACCCAAAAACCCCCAGGAUAAAGCGCAGAGGGGGACGCUCAGAGCCGGGGGAAGAGUGAAAAUUCGGGAAGCCGGAGGGAGAAGCCCCGGGCAGGGGCAGAAGCCCCAGGAAGGGGGAGAAACCCUGGGAAGGAAGAGAGAAACCCCGGGAAGGAGGGGCAGAAGCUCCAGGAAGGAGGAGAGAAGCCCCGGGCAGGGACAGAAGCUCCAGGAAGGGGCAGAAGCUCCAGGAAGGAGAGGAGAAGCCCCAGGCAGGGACAAAAGCCCCAGGCAGAGGGAGAAGCCCCGGGCAGGGGCAGAAGCCCCAGGAAGGGGGAGAAACCCUGGGAAGGAGGGGCAGAAGCUCCAGGAAGGAGGGGAGAAGCCCCGGGCAGGGACAGAAGCCCCGGGCAGGGGGAGAAGCCCCAGGAAGGGGGAGAAACCCCGGGAAGGAGGAGAGAAGCCCCAGGCAGAGGGAGAAGCCCCGGGCAGGGGCAGAAGCCCCAGGAAAGGGGAGAAACCCUGGGAAGGAGGGGCAGAAGCUCCAGGAAGGAGGGGAGAAGCCCCGGGCAGGGGCAGAANNNNNNNNNNNNNNNNNNNNNNNNN
This 1008-nucleotide long non-coding RNA is filed under the name Lonchura striata (white-rumped munia). Its description in RNAcentral is "domestica (Bengalese finch) lncRNA (ENSLSDG00000003826.1)". The record is from RNAcentral. Lineage: Eukaryota; Metazoa; Chordata; Aves; Passeriformes; Estrildidae.